Molecule: ribosomal RNA, 814 nt
Filed under: uncultured bacterium
Lineage: Bacteria
Description: bacterial SSU rRNA
Rfam family: Bacterial small subunit ribosomal RNA
Source: RNAcentral
ACUUCGGUAAUGACGUUGGGAAAGCGAGCGGCGGAUGGGUGAGUAACACGUGGGGAACCUGCCCCUAAGUCUGGGAUACCAUUUGGAAACAGGUGCUAAUACCGGAUAAUAAAGCAGAUCGCAUGAUCAGCUUUUGAAAGGCGGCGUAAGCUGUCGCUAAGGGAUGGCCCCGCGGUGCAUUAGCUAGUUGGUAAGGUAACGGCUUACCAAGGCGACGAUGCAUAGCCGAGUUGAGAGACUGAUCGGCCACAUUGGGACUGAGACACGGCCCAAACUCCUACGGGAGGCAGCAGUAGGGAAUCUUCCACAAUGGACGCAAGUCUGAUGGAGCAACGCCGCGUGAGUGAAGAAGGUUUUCGGAUCGUAAAGCUCUGUUGUUGGUGAAGAAGGAUAGAGGUAGUAACUGGCCUUUAUUUGACGGUAAUCAACCAGAAAGUCACGGCUAACUACGUGCCAGCAGCCGCGGUAAUACGUAGGUGGCAAGCGUUGUCCGGAUUUAUUGGGCGUAAAGCGAGCGCAGGCGGAAAAAUAAGUCUAAUGUGAAAGCCCUCGGCUUAACCGAGGAACUGCAUCGGAAACUGUUUUUCUUGAGUGCAGAAGAGGAGAGUGGAACUCCAUGUGUAGCGGUGGAAUGCGUAGAUAUAUGGAAGAACACCAGUGGCGAAGGCGGCUCUCUGGUCUGCAACUGACGCUGAGGCUCGAAAGCAUGGGUAGCGAACAGGAUUAGAUACCCUGGUAGUCCAUGCCGUAAACGAUGAGUGCUAAGUGUUGGGAGGUUUCCGCCUCUCAGUGCUGCAGCUAACGCAUUAAGCAC